CGUGCCUGUGUCUUCAAAUGUGUGCGUUAUGCAUUAGCAGCUUGUCAGUCUCAAAUUCCUCAGCAGCUCGGUUUGGCAGGGACAGCUCGCUCUGGUCUGUAGCUCUGCAUUCCGAAUGGACCUGAGCCCUCGGACCAUGGCUUAGAACUACCUGUCCUGAUGACUCCUUGCUGUCCCCAGUCCACCUGGUCAUGCUGCUGCUCCAGUUUCAACUGUUCUGCCUGUGGCUAUGGAACCUUGACCUGUUCACUGGACGUGCUACCUUGUCCAGGACCUGCUGUUUUGGACACUCUCUCUACCGCACAUGCUGUCUCUAACUCUGAAUGAUCGGCUAUGAAAAGCCAACUGACAUUUACUCCUGAGGUGCUGACCUGUUGCACCCUCUACACCCACUGUGAUUAUUAUUAUCUGAUCCUGCUGGUCAUCUAUGAACAUUUGAACAUCUUGGCCAUGUUCUGUUAUAAUCUCCACCCUGCACAGCCAGAAGAGGACUGGCCAGAGCCUGGACUCAGAGCCUGGUUCCCCUCUAGGUUUCUUCCUAAGUUCUGGCCUUUCUAGGGAGUUUUUCCUAGCCACCAUGCUUCAACAUCUGCAUUGCUUGCUGUUUGGGGUUUUAGGCUGGGUUUCUGUACAGCACAAAAGGGCUUUAGAAAUAAGUUGCAAUCGGGAUUCAAACUGGCAACCAUGCGGGUCGCAACCCAUGUGUAACGCCC
Molecule: long non-coding RNA, 713 nt
Filed under: Salmo salar (Atlantic salmon)
Lineage: Eukaryota; Metazoa; Chordata; Actinopteri; Salmoniformes; Salmonidae
Description: lncRNA (ENSSSAG00000104358.1)
Source: RNAcentral